This 500-nucleotide ribosomal RNA is filed under the name uncultured bacterium. Its description in RNAcentral is "partial 16S ribosomal RNA". It matches the Rfam family "Bacterial small subunit ribosomal RNA", at positions 28 to 507 of the family's 1533-position model. The record is from RNAcentral.
GACGAACGCUGGCGGCGUGCUUAACACAUGCAAGUCGAACGGGUCUGCCCUGUUUUUUGCGGGGUGGGUCAGUGGCGAACGGGUGAGUAACACGUGAGUAACCUGCCCCUCACUUCUGGAUAACCGCUUGAAAGGGUGGCUAAUACGGGGUGUUCUGGCUGUGCCGCAUGGUGUGGCUGGGAAAGAUUCACUUUUGUGGUGUUUUGGUGGGGGAUGGGCUCGCGGCCUAUCAGCUUGUUGGUGGGGUGAUGGCCUGCCAAGGCUUUGACGGGUAGCCGGCCUGAGAGGGUGGGCGGUCACACUGGGACUGAGCUACGGCCCAGACUCCUGCGGGAGGCAGCAGUGGGGGGUAUUGCACAAUGGGCGGAAGCCUGAUGCAGCGACGUCGCGUGAGGGAUGGAGGCCUUCGGGUUGUGAACCUCUUUCGCCGGUGAAGAAGGUCCUGCUCUUUGUGGUGGGGUUGACGGUAGCCGGGUUAUGAAGCGCCGGCUAACUACGUG